GCUGGCUCAUGUACAAGUCCCUUGGAACAGGGCGUCAUAGAGGGUGAGAAUCCCGUACUUGACAUGAAUAACCAGUGCUCUGUGAUACAUUUUCAAAGAGUCGAGUUGUUUGGGAAUGCAGCUCAAAAUGGGUGGUAAAUUCCAUCUAAAGCUAAAUAUUGGCGAGAGACCGAUAGCGAACAAGUACCGUGAGGGAAAGAUGAAAAGCACUUUGGAAAGAGAGUUAAACAGUAUGUGAAAUUGUUAAAAGGGAAACGAUUGAAGUCAAUCAUGUCCUUGGGUCUUACCACCCUUGGAUGGGGUCAACAUCAGUUUUGAUCGGUGGAUAAGGAUAGGAGGAAGGUAGCACUCUCGGGUGAACUUAUAGCCUCCUGUCGCAUACACUGGUUGAGACUGAGGUCUGCUAUUACAGGAUGUUGACAUAAUGGCUUUAAACGACCCGUCUUG
Molecule: small RNA, 447 nt
Filed under: Goffeauzyma gastrica
Lineage: Eukaryota; Fungi; Basidiomycota; Tremellomycetes; Filobasidiales; Filobasidiaceae
Description: eukaryotic LSU rRNA
Rfam family: Eukaryotic large subunit ribosomal RNA
Source: RNAcentral